GAUGAACGCUGGCGGCGUGCCUAAUACAUGCAAGUCGAGCGAACAGACGAGGAGCUUGCUCCUCUGACGUUAGCGGCGGACGGGUGAGUAACACGUGGAUAACCUACCUAUAAGACUGGGAUAACUUCGGGAAACCGGAGCUAAUACCGGAUAAUAUAUUGAACCGCAUGGUUCAAUAGUGAAAGACGGUUUUGCUGUCACUUAUAGAUAGAUCCGCGCCGCAUUAGCUAGUUGGUAAGGUAACGGCUUACCAAGGCAACGAUGCGUAGCCGACCUGAGAGGGUGAUCGGCCACACUGGAACUGAGACACGGUCCAGACUCCUACGGGAGGCAGCAGUAGGGAAUCUUCCGCAAUGGGCGAAAGCGUGACGGAGCAACGCCGCGUGAGUGGUGAAGGUCUUCGGAUCGUAUAACUCUGUUAUUAGGGAAGAACAAAUGUGUAAGUAACUAUGCACGUCUUGACGGUACCUAAUCAGAAAGCCACGGCUAACUACGUG
This 497-nucleotide ribosomal RNA is filed under the name uncultured bacterium. RNAcentral describes it as "partial 16S ribosomal RNA". It matches the Rfam family "Bacterial small subunit ribosomal RNA", at positions 28 to 507 of the family's 1533-position model. The record is from RNAcentral.